This 214-nucleotide long non-coding RNA is filed under the name Gossypium raimondii (Peruvian cotton). RNAcentral describes it as "long non-coding RNA (GRAI_LNC008110)". The record is from RNAcentral. Lineage: Eukaryota; Viridiplantae; Streptophyta; Magnoliopsida; Malvales; Malvaceae.
UGUUUUUUUUUAAAUUUUAUUUAUUUGUUUGUUUAUCUUAUUUCUAUACAAUUGUCGCAUUUAUUAUUGUUAUUUAUUGCGAUAUUUAUACAUGCAUUCAAUAUAACAUUACAUCAUUUUUUACUCGAUUUUUUUAAAAAAAAAUAGAAAAUUGUCCAAAUUGAGAUAAUGCUCGUAUUUAGGAUUUUCAAGGGAAUUGAGCCCUAACGUAUUG